Molecule: long non-coding RNA, 289 nt
Organism: Homo sapiens (human)
Lineage: Eukaryota; Metazoa; Chordata; Mammalia; Primates; Hominidae
Source: Ensembl
GAGGGGUAGAAUUUAGCGAGGGAGAGAGACUUUGGCUCAAUUAAGUAAAAAGUUAGAUGGGCUCAGUUUUCUUGGGCAAGUCUGGCCUGUUGUGCAAAGCACCCGCACUCCCUGACUCUUCCCCAAACACAAGAGCUAAGGUGGGUGUUCUGUUCCUCCCACUUCUGCCUCCAAAUGACCUGGAGGGAAUUUGUGUCCCAGCUGUUCCCUUCCCUGCCACCUUUGCUCCAGGUGGGAGGAUCACCUGAGUGAGCCUGAGGAGGUCAAGGCUGCGGUGAACCAUGAUCAC